CCUACGGGUGGCAGCAGUGGGGAAUAUUGCACAAUGGGGGAAACCCUGAUGCAGCGACGCCGCGUGAGUGAAGAAGUAAUUCGUUAUGUAAAGCUCUAUCAGCAGGGAAGAAAAUUACGGUACCUGAGUAAGAAGCCCCGGCUAACUACGUCCCAGCAGCCGCGGUAAUACGUAGGGGGCAAGCGUUAUCCGGAUUUACUGGGUGGAAAGGGAGCGUAGACGGCAGUGCAAGUCUGGAGUGAAGGGCGGGGGCACAACCCCCGGACUGCUCUUGAAACUGUACGGCUGGAGUGCAGGAGAGGUAAGUGGAAUUCCGAGUGUAGCGGUGAAAUGCGUAGAUAUUCGGAGGAACACCAGUGGCGAAGGCGGCUUACUGGACUGUAACUGACGUUGAGGCUCGAAAGCGUGGGGAGCAAACAGGAUUAGAUACCCUAGUAGUC
Molecule: ribosomal RNA, 440 nt
Filed under: uncultured bacterium
Lineage: Bacteria
Description: partial 16S ribosomal RNA
Rfam family: Bacterial small subunit ribosomal RNA
Source: RNAcentral